AUUGAACGCUGGCGGCAUGCCUUACACAUGCAAGUCGAACGGCAGCACGGGUGCUUGCACCUGGUGGCGAGUGGCGAACGGGUGAGUAAUACAUCGGAACAUGUCCUGUAGUGGGGGAUAGCCCGGCGAAAGCCGGAUUAAUACCGCAUACGAUCUACGGAUGAAAGCGGGGGACCUUCGGGCCUCGCGCUAUAGGGUUGGCCGAUGGCUGAUUAGCUAGUUGGUGGGGUAAAGGCCUACCAAGGCGACGAUCAGUAGAUGGUCUGAGAGGACGACCAGCCACACUGGGACUGAGACACGGCCCAGACUCCUACGGGAGGCAGCAGUGGGGAAUUUUGGACAAUGGGCGAAAGCCUGAUCCAGCAAUGCCGCGUGUGUGAAGAAGGCCUUCGGGUUGUAAAGCACUUUUGUCCGGAAAGAAAUCCUUGGCUCUAAUACAGUUGGGGGAUGACGGUACCGGAAGAAUAAGCACCGGCUAACUACGUG
Molecule: ribosomal RNA, 486 nt
Filed under: uncultured bacterium
Lineage: Bacteria
Description: partial 16S ribosomal RNA
Rfam family: Bacterial small subunit ribosomal RNA
Source: RNAcentral